UUGAACGCUGGCGGCAGGCCUAACACAUGCAAGUCGAGCGGAUGAAGGGAGCUUGCUCCUGGAUUCAGCGGCGGACGGGUGAGUAAUGCCUAGGAAUCUGCCUGGUAGUGGGGGAUAACGUCCGGAAACGGGCGCUAAUACCGCAUACGUCCUGAGGGAGAAAGUGGGGGAUCUUCGGACCUCACGCUAUCAGAUGAGCCUAGGUCGGAUUAGCUAGUUGGUGGGGUAAAGGCCUACCAAGGCGACGAUCCGUAACUGGUCUGAGAGGAUGAUCAGUCACACUGGAACUGAGACACGGUCCAGACUCCUACGGGAGGCAGCAGUGGGGAAUAUUGGACAAGGGGCGAAAGCCUGAUCCAGCCAUGCCGCGUGUGUGAAGAAGGUCUUCGGAUUGUAAAGCUCUUUAAGUUGGGAGGAAGGGCAGUAAGUUAAUACCUUGCUGUUUUGACGUUACCAACAGAAUAAGCACCGGCUAACUUCGUG
Molecule: ribosomal RNA, 483 nt
Filed under: uncultured bacterium
Lineage: Bacteria
Description: partial 16S ribosomal RNA
Rfam family: Bacterial small subunit ribosomal RNA
Source: RNAcentral